Long non-coding RNA from Melanotaenia boesemani (Boeseman's rainbowfish), 876 nucleotides. RefSeq lists it as uncharacterized. The transcript has 4 exons. The record is from RefSeq and is a predicted model, not a curated record. NCBI's taxonomy places the organism in Eukaryota, Metazoa, Chordata, Actinopteri, Atheriniformes, Melanotaeniidae.
CUUCCCUCUCCUCUCAUCCGCCUCCUCCAUCUCCAGUCUCCUCUCUGUGUCCUGCACUCUCUUCCAAAAAAAAAAAAAAAGUCACAGGUUAUAUUUCCUCUGUACUACUUCUACAUGAAUAUAGUGAAAUUAUUUUGUAAUUGUUAGGCUGCUACUUCAGAACACUUAUUUAUGUUUUAUUACUGUCUUUUUUUCUAGAAUGCAGAAAACACAAAUACCAGAAGGUGUUCCUGUACGAGAGGGUUCUUGAGAAACGAGUGCUAAACGGAAAGGCAGAAGUAAAGAUUAGGUGGACACCAUGCCCGAAAUGUGGUAAGGUGUGGGCUGACACGUGGGAGCCAGCACAGCAGUAUGGCAGUCCUACAUAGGCCUUGGUGUGUGUUGUCCUCUGAAAAAAUUUGCUUUUAGUUCUGAUCUGCAUUUUACACAUUUGGUUUUGCCUUAAUUGUUAAUUUUUGUUAAUUAAUUGUUGUUGUUGUUAGUUAAUUGUUGUUGAUUGUAACAGUUUGUUACUUAUUAUUUUAUGUUUAUAAUUGGCAGGCACUUUUUUAUAAUUGGCACUUUAUUUUAUUUGAGACUAUAUGUGUUAACUGAAGCAGUUUUGAAAAUGUGUUUGUUAAAUGUUCAAGUUCAUCAUAAAAGUUCAAAAUAAAUUAUUCAAUACACAUUUCAGCCAGUGUCAAUCUCUGUUUCACUCUCUAACUGUGGCUUAAGUACAUAAAUCAUCCAUGAAUCUGAUCAAUAAUAUCUCACAGAAUGUAUUCCCAGCACUCGAUAUCUCACAUAUGUGGUCUACUUCUCAUAGUUUUAUAUAUCAACCAACAUUAUUGUCUACAUCAUCACCACUAUAGAAGUGACUAGGCUAUUGUAACAUAG